GACGAACGCUGGCGGCGUGCUUAACACAUGCAAGUCGAACGGAAAGGCCCUGCUUUUGUGGGGUGCUCGAGUGGCGAACGGGUGAGUAACACGUGAGUAACCUGCCCUUGACUUUGGGAUAACUUCAGGAAACUGGGGCUAAUACCGGAUAGGAGCUCCUGCUGCAUGGUGGGGGUUGGAAAGUUUCGGCGGUUGGGGAUGGACUCGCGGCUUAUCAGCUUGUUGGUGGGGUAGUGGCUUACCAAGGCUUUGACGGGUAGCCGGCCUGAGAGGGUGACCGGCCACAUUGGGACUGAGAUACGGCCCAGACUCCUACGGGAGGCAGCAGUGGGGAAUAUUGCACAAUGGGCGGAAGCCUGAUGCAGCAACGCCGCGUGCGGGAUGACGGCCUUCGGGUGGGAAACCGCUUUCGCCUGUGACGAAGCGUGAGUGACGGUAAUGGGUAAAGAAGCACCGGCUACUACGUG
This 467-nucleotide ribosomal RNA is filed under the name uncultured bacterium. Its description in RNAcentral is "partial 16S ribosomal RNA". It matches the Rfam family "Bacterial small subunit ribosomal RNA", at positions 28 to 507 of the family's 1533-position model. The record is from RNAcentral.